AUUGAACGCUGGCGGAAUGCUUUACACAUGCAAGUCGAACGGCAGCACGGGAGCUUGCUCCUGGUGGCGAGUGGCGAACGGGUGAGUAAUGCAUCGGAACGUACCUAUUAGGGGGGGAUAACUAUCCGAAAGGAUAGCUAAUACCGCAUACGUCCUGAGGGAGAAAGCGGGGGAUCGCAAGACUCCGCGCUAAUAGAGCGGCCGGUGUUGGAUUAGCUAGUUGGUGGGGUAAAGGCCUACCAAGGCGGCGAUCCAUAGCUGGUCUGAGAGGAUGAUCAGCCACACUGGGACUGAGACACGGCCCAGACUCCUACGGGAGGCAGCAGUGGGGAAUUUUGGACAAUGGGGGCAACCCUGAUCCAGCCAUUCCGCGUGAGUGAAGAAGGCCUUCGGGUUGUAAAGCUCUUUCGGCAGGAACGAAACGGUGGUUACUAAUACUAGCUACUAAUGACGGUACCUGAAGAAGAAGCACCGGCUAACUACGUGCCAGCCGCCGCCGUAA
This 502-nucleotide ribosomal RNA is filed under the name uncultured bacterium. RNAcentral describes it as "partial 16S ribosomal RNA". It matches the Rfam family "Bacterial small subunit ribosomal RNA", at positions 30 to 523 of the family's 1533-position model. The record is from RNAcentral.